Molecule: ribosomal RNA, 396 nt
Filed under: uncultured bacterium
Lineage: Bacteria
Description: bacterial SSU rRNA
Rfam family: Bacterial small subunit ribosomal RNA
Source: RNAcentral
GUGUCAGCAGCCGCGGUAAUACGUAGGGGGCGAGCGUUGUCCGAAGUUACUGGGCGUAAAGCGCGCGUAGGCGGGCUAUUAAGUUGGAUGUGAAAUCUCCACGGCUUAACCGGGAAACCGCAUCCAAAACUGAUAGCCUUGAGGUAUGGAGAGGGAAGUGGAAUUCCUGGUGUAGCGGUGAAAUGCGUAGAUAUCAGGAGGAACACCCGUGGCGAAGGCGGCUUCCUGGCCAUAUCCUGACGCUGAGGUGCGAAAGCUAGGGGAGCGAACGGGAUUAGAUACCCCGGUAGUCCUAGCCGUAAACGAUGGAUACUAGGUGUAAGAGGUAUCGACCCCUCUUGUGCCGUAGCUAACGCAUUAAGUAUCCCGCCUGGGGAGUACGGCCGCAAGGUUGAA